This is a non-coding RNA of Nicotiana sylvestris (wood tobacco), 97 nucleotides long. The record is from Rfam. NCBI's taxonomy places the organism in Eukaryota, Viridiplantae, Streptophyta, Magnoliopsida, Solanales, Solanaceae.
UGGACAGAUUAUUGUAUUCGACUGUAUUCACCGCGUGAAAUAGGGGAUUACACUGUUUUUAAAACGGAAAGUGAAUCAAUUAACAUAAUAGACUCCU